This 521-nucleotide ribosomal RNA is filed under the name uncultured Glomeraceae. Its description in RNAcentral is "SSU rRNA". It matches the Rfam family "Eukaryotic small subunit ribosomal RNA", at positions 569 to 1092 of the family's 1831-position model. Lineage: Eukaryota; Fungi; Glomeromycota; Glomeromycetes; Glomerales; Glomeraceae. The record is from RNAcentral.
AGCAGCCGCGGUAAUUCCAGCUCCAAUAGCGUAUAUUAAAGUUGUUGCAGUUAAAAAGCUCGUAGUUGAAUUUCGGGAUCAAUAUGUUGGUCGUGCCUCGGUACGUACUGGCAUUAUUGGUUUCUACCUUCUGAAGAACCUCGAUGUCAUUAAUUUGGUGUCUUGGGGAAUCAGGACUGUUACUUUGAAAAAAUUAGAGUGUUUAAAGCAGGCUCACGCUUGAAUACAUUAGCAUGGAAUAAUGAAAUAGGACGUUUGAUUCUAUUUUGUUGGUUUCUAGGAUCGACGUAAUGAUUAAUAGGGAUAGUUGGGGGCAUUAGUAUUCAAUUGUCAGAGGUGAAAUUCUUGGAUUUAUUGAAGACUAACUACUGCGAAAGCAUUUGCCAAGGAUGUUUUCAUUAAUCAAGAACGAAAGUUAGGGGAUCGAAGACGAUCAGAUACCGUCGUAGUCUUAACCAUAAACUAUGCCGACUAGGGAUCGGAUGAUGUUAAUUUUUUAAUGACUCAUUCGGCGCCUUACG